AUAAGGUUAAGUGAAUAAGGGCGCACGGUGGAUGCCUUGGCACUAGGAGCCGAUGAAGGACGGGACUAACACCGAUAUGCUUUGGGGGAGCUGUACGUAAGCUAUGAUCCAGAGAUUUCCGAAUGGGGGAACCCAGCAUCUUUAAUAGGAUGUUACGAUUGUGUGAAUACAUAGCACAUUCGAGGUAGACGCAGAGAACUGAAACAUCUAAGUACCUGCAGGAAGAGAAAGAAAAUUCGAUUCCCUGAGUAGCGGCGAGCGAAACGGGAAAAGCCCAAACCAGCAAGCUUGCUUGUUGGGGUUGUAGGACUCCAAUAUGGUAGUUCUUUCAGAUAGUCGAAUGACUUGGAAAAGUCAGUCAAAGAGGGUAAAAACCCCGUAGACGAAAUGUGGAAGACACCUAGGAGGAUCCUGAGUACGGCGGAACACGAGAAAUUCCGUCGGAAUCCGGGAGGACCAUCUCCCAAGGCUAAAUACUCCCUAGUGACCGAUAGUGAACCAGUACCGUGAGGGAAAGGUGAAAAGCACCCCGGAAGGGGAGUGAAAUAGAACCUGAAACCGUGUGCCUACAACAAGUCAAAGCCCGUUAAUGGGUGAUGGCGUGCCUUUUGUAGAAUGAACCGGCGAGUUACGAUUGCAUGCGAGGUUAAGUUGAAGAGACGGAGCCGCAGCGAAAGCGAGUCUGAAUAGGGCGUUUGAGUAUGUAGUCGUAGACCCGAAACCAUGUGAUCUACCCAUGUCCAGGUUGAAGGUGCGGUAAAACGCACUGGAGGACCGAACCCACGUACGUUGAAAAGUGCGGGGAUGAGGUGUGGGUAGCGGAGAAAUUCCAAACGAACUUGGAGAUAGCUGGUUCUCUCCGAAAUAGCUUUAGGGCUAGCCUCGGAAUUGAGAAUGAUGGAGGUAGAGCACUGUUUGGACUAGGGGCCCAUCUCGGGUUACCGAAUUCAGAUAAACUCCGAAUGCCAUUCAUUCAUAUCCGGGAGUCAGACUGUGAGUGAUAAGAUCCAUAGUCGAAAGGGAAACAGCCCAGACCACCAGCUAAGGUCCCAAAAUAUAUGUUAAGUGGAAAAGGAUGUGGGGUUGCACAGACAACUAGGAUGUUGGCUUAGAAGCAGCCAUCAUUUAAAGAGUGCGUAAUAGCUCACUAGUCGAGUGACCCUGCGCCGAAAAUGUACCGGGGCUAAACAUAUUACCGAAGCUGUGGAGUACACCUUUAGGUGUAUUGGUAGGAGAGCGUUCUAAGGGCGUCGAAGGCAGAUCGUGAGGACUGCUGGAGCGCUUAGAAGUGAGAAUGCCGGUAUGAGUAGCGAAAGACAGGUGAGAAUCCUGUCCACCGAAUGACUAAGGUUUCCUGGGGAAGGCUCGUCCGCCCAGGGUUAGUCGGGACCUAAGCCGAGGCCGACAGGCGUAGGCGAUGGAUAACAGGUUGAUAUUCCUGUACCCGUUGUUUUUGUUUGAGCAAUGGAGGGACGCAGGAGGCUAAGGAAUGCAGACGAUCGGAAAUGUCUGUCCAAGCAGUAAGUCUGAAGAGGAGUUAAAUGCUUCUUUUCUUAAGGACAAGCUGUGAUGGGGAGGGAAAUAAUAGUACCGAAGUUCCUGAUGUCACACUGCCGAGAAAAGCUUCUAGUGAGAAAACAGCGGCCCGUACCGCAAACCGACACAGGUAGUCGAGGAGAGAAUCCUAAGGUGAGCGAGAGAACUCUCGUUAAGGAACUCGGCAAAAUGACCCCGUAACUUCGGGAGAAGGGGUGCUGAUCAUACGAUCAGCCGCAGUGAAUAGGCCCAAGCGACUGUUUAUCAAAAACACAGGUCUCUGCAAAAUCGUAAGAUGAAGUAUAGGGGCUGACGCCUGCCCGGUGCUGGAAGGUUAAGAGGAGUGCUUAGCGCAAGCGAAGGUACGAAUUGAAGCCCCAGUAAACGGCGGCCGUAACUAUAACGGUCCUAAGGUAGCGAAAUUCCUUGUCGGGUAAGUUCCGACCCGCACGAAAGGCGUAACGAUUUGGGCACUGUCUCAACGAGAGACUCGGUGAAAUUUUAGUACCUGUGAAGAUGCAGGUUACCCGCGACAGGACGGAAAGACCCCAUGGAGCUUUACUGUAGUUUGAUAUUGAGUGUCUGUACCGCAUGUACAGGAUAGGUAGGAGCCGUAGAAAUCGGAACGCUAGUUUCGAUGGAGGCGCUGGUGGGAUACUACCCCUGCGUUAUGGCCACUCUAACCCGCACCACUAAUCGUGGUGGGAGACAGUGUCAGAUGGGCAGUUUGACUGGGGCGGUCGCCUCCUAAAAGGUAACGGAGGCGCCCAAAGGUUCCCCUCAGAAUGGUUGGAAAUCAUUCGAAGAGUGUAAAGGCAGAAGGGAGCUUGACUGCGAGACCAACAAGUCGAGCAGGGACGAAAGUCGGGCUUAGUGAUCCGGUGGUUCCGCAUGGAAGGGCCAUCGCUCAACGGAUAAAAGCUACCCUGGGGAUAACAGGCUUAUCUCCCCCAAGAGUCCACAUCGACGGGGAGGUUUGGCACCUCGAUGUCGGCUCGUCGCAUCCUGGGGCUGUAGUCGGUCCCAAGGGUUGGGCUGUUCGCCCAUUAAAGCGGCACGCGAGCUGGGUUCAGAACGUCGUGAGACAGUUCGGUCCCUAUCCGUCGCGGGCGUUGGAAAUUUGAGAGGAGCUGUCCUUAGUACGAGAGGACCGGGAUGGACUUACCGCUGGUGUACCAGUUGUUCUGCCAAGGGCAUUGCUGGGUAGCUAUGUAGGGAAGGGAUAAACGCUGAAAGCAUCUAAGUGUGAAGCCCACCUCAAGAUGAGAUUUCCCAUUUCUUUAAGAAAGUAAGAUCCCUGAGAGAUGAUCAGGUAGAUAGGUCAGGAGUGGAAGUACAGUGAUGUAUGGAGCGGACUGAUACUAAUCGAUCGAGGACUUAACCAAU
This 2922-nucleotide ribosomal RNA is filed under the name Enterococcus faecium. RNAcentral describes it as "23S ribosomal RNA". It matches the Rfam family "Bacterial large subunit ribosomal RNA". The record is from RNAcentral. Lineage: Bacteria; Bacillati; Bacillota; Bacilli; Lactobacillales; Enterococcaceae.